Molecule: transfer RNA, 73 nt
Filed under: Verrucomicrobiota bacterium
Lineage: Bacteria; Pseudomonadati; Verrucomicrobiota
Also listed under: 1 other name
Description: Verrucomicrobia bacterium tRNA-Glu
Rfam family: tRNA
About the family: Transfer RNA (tRNA) molecules are approximately 80 nucleotides in length. Their secondary structure includes four short double-helical elements and three loops (D, anti-codon, and T loops).
Source: RNAcentral
GACCCCAUCAUCUAGAGGCCUAGGAUACCAGGUUUUCAUCCUGGACACACGGGUUCGAAUCCCGUUGGGGUCG